This 1243-nucleotide long non-coding RNA is filed under the name Anser cygnoides (Swan goose). RNAcentral's name for it is "lncRNA (ENSACDG00005001546.1)". Lineage: Eukaryota; Metazoa; Chordata; Aves; Anseriformes; Anatidae. The record is from RNAcentral.
AUGUUUACUCAUGUGAUCAAGGGGAAUAACAAUUAUAUUUUGUGUAUUGUCAGCAAUAUGAUUAUUAAUGUUUUUACAGUAUUUCCUGUGUGGGAAUGCAUACAGCCUGAACUAUGGAAGGAACGGAGAAAUUUGUCGAUACUCAGAAAAAAAAGUUUGUCAGCACUCUGUAUGAGAACCUGGAAGAUGGGUGAAUUUCUGAGUCUCCAUGGCCUGAUGAGUGGGUUGAGAGAAAAAAGAUGAGAAGUGAAAAAUAAGUGUGUUAUUGUCAUCAUCAUCUGCCUUUAUGCACAGAAUUAAGAGGUUAGUGGGUUUUUCUUCCCCUUCUGUCCUCCAUCCUGGAGAAAAAGAUGGGAGAUGAAUGCUGCUUCUCUCUCUGGACCUGUGUAGCAAGAAUGACGCACAUUAGUUGCGGACCACAGGUACAGAAUGGAAUCAAAACAUUCACGAACAUCUACAGGUCAUGUAGCAUCAUGUCCUUUGUUCUAAGCCCUAACCUGAAAUCUAAAAUACUCUCACUUGAGGCAGCAAACACUCGUAACAGGUAAAAGGAAGACUUUCUAGAAAUUAAUACUUUUAGAGCAUCCUAUUGUGUAGUGACUUACAUGUCUAUAUAAAAAACACUUUGAAAAAAGUGUUUGUAUAUAAAACCCUUUUCAAAGGUGUGUCACGUAAGAGACUUUCUGAUAGGCAACUUCUCAUUAACAUUUGCCUCUUGUGAGUCAUAAUUCAUUUUGUCACAGACUGCAGUGACAGUACUUUGCUUUUAUUAAAAUGAUAGCUUUGUUGACUAUGUGUUUGGAGUUAUUUCAUAACAAGGGUCACCGUCUGCCUCCUUUGUCACCAUGACCUUCAGAUUAUGUCUUUACUUUCCACUUCAGUCUAACAUGCUGCUUUCAUUUGCUUGAUGGUUCCAUGGUUCAAUAGCACUUAGAGAGGUGUUCACAGCAAAUGGAAAAGUUUGAAAAUGCUGUUGUUUAAAAUAAUACUAUCUGUGUAUACUAUAGACCAAAUUUUUAUGCUUCCUCUUUUCCUUUCAAAAUGAAGAGUUACUUCAAGCAAUAGCCUUCGUUUUGGUUCUUCAAUAAUUACUAUUUUUUGCUUCUCUUUCUCUCGUUUGCGCGCUCUCGUUUGCGCGCUCUCGUUUGCGCGCUCUCUCUCUUUCUCUCUCUUUCUCUCUCUUUCUCUCUCUUUCUCUUUCUCUCUCUUUCUCUCUCUUUCUCUCGCUCUCUCGCUCUCGCUC